This 253-nucleotide ribosomal RNA is filed under the name uncultured bacterium. Its description in RNAcentral is "partial 16S ribosomal RNA". It matches the Rfam family "Bacterial small subunit ribosomal RNA", at positions 524 to 776 of the family's 1533-position model. The record is from RNAcentral.
UACGUAGGGGGCUAGCGUUGUCCGGAAUCAUUGGGCGUAAAGCGCGUGUAGGCGGCCCGGUAAGUCCGCUGUGAAAGUCGGGGGCUCAACCCUCGGAUGCCGGUGGAUACUGUCGGGCUCGAGUACGGAAGAGGCGAGUGGAAUUCCUGGUGUAGCGGUGAAAUGCGCAGAUAUCAGGAGGAACACCAAUUGCGAAGGCAGCUCGCUGGGACGUUACUGACGCUGAGGAGCGAAAGCAUGGGUAGCGAACAGG